AGCUCAGUAUGAAGAGCUGACGGAAUUCUGCGGUGGGCCAGGUGGCUCUGGCGUCGAUUGUUUAAGGCGACUGUUAAUGACUACAACACACCAUUGAGUCUUGGUCCCAAGGCGCUGGUGCACAUGGUACUUCCCGAAAUCCCUGUAGAGCCGCUGGAGCAGGAGCCCCGAUCCCACGUUUGGGCAGCUGACUCGCCUAAGGCCUCCAGCUGAAAGCGGAAUUGCAGGGGUAUCUUAUUGACAGCCGGUGGUUCAAGCAGUGGAAGAAGUAUGUGGGCUUUGACAGCUGGGACAUGUACAAUGUGGGUGAACAUAACCUAUUUCCUGGCCCAAUAGACAACUCUGGGCUAUUUUCAGAUCCUGAGAGUCAGACCUUGAAAGAACACUUAAUUGAUGAAUUGGACUAUGUAUUGGUCCCCACCGAGGCGUGGAAUAAACUACUAAACUGGUACGGCUGUGUAGAAGGCCAGCAACCCAUCGUCAGAAAAGUUGUGGAGCAUGGCCUGUUUGUCAAGCACUGCAAAGUCGAGGUGUAUUUGCUGGAACUAAAGCUCUGUGAGAACAGUGACCCCACCAAUGUGCUGAGUUGCCAUUUCAGCAAGGCAGACACCAUUGCAACCAUCGAGAAAGAGAUGCGGAAGCUAUUCAACAUCCCUGCGGAGCGUGAAACACGGCUCUGGAACAAAUACAUGAGCAACACCUACGAGCAGUUGAGCAAGCUAGACAACACUGUCCAGGAUGCUGGGCUAUACCAGGGUCAGGUGCUAGUAAUUGAGCCUCAAAAUGAAGAUGGCACAUGGCCCAGGCAGACCUUGCAGUCA
This 821-nucleotide small RNA is filed under the name Pan troglodytes (chimpanzee). Its description in RNAcentral is "processed transcript". Lineage: Eukaryota; Metazoa; Chordata; Mammalia; Primates; Hominidae. The record is from RNAcentral.